UGCAGUCGACGGCAGCACAGUAAGAGCUUGCUCUUAUGGGUGGCGAGUGGCGGACGGGUGAGGAAUACAUCGGAAUCUACUCUUUCGUGGGGGAUAACGUAGGGAAACUUACGCUAAUACCGCAUACGACCUACGGGUGAAAGCGGAGGACCUUCGGGCUUCGCGCGAUUGAAUGAGCCGAUGUCGGAUUAGCUAGUUGGCGGGGUAAAGGCCCACCAAGGCGACGAUCCGUAGCUGGUCUGAGAGGAUGAUCAGCCACACUGGAACUGAGACACGGUCCAGACUCCUACGGGAGGCAGCAGUGGGGAAUAUUGGACAAUGGGCGCAAGCCUGAUCCAGCCAUGCCGCGUGGGUGAAGAAGGCCUUCGGGUUGUAAAGCCCUUUUGUUGGGAAAGAAAAGCAGUCGGUUAAUACCCGAUUGUUCUGACGGUACCCAAAGAAUAAGCACCGGCUAACUUCGUGCCAGCAGCCGCGGUAAUACGAAGGGUGCAAGCGUUACUCGGAAUUACUGGGCGUAAAGCGUGCGUAGGUGGUGGUUUAAGUCUGUUGUGAAAGCCCUGGGCUCAACCUGGGAAUUGCAGUGGAUACUGGGUCACUAGAGUGUGGUAGAGGGUAGCGGAAUUCCCGGUGUAGCAGUGAAAUGCGUAGAG
This 650-nucleotide ribosomal RNA is filed under the name uncultured bacterium. RNAcentral's name for it is "bacterial SSU rRNA". It matches the Rfam family "Bacterial small subunit ribosomal RNA", at positions 56 to 695 of the family's 1533-position model. The record is from RNAcentral.